This is an RNA transcript of Equus quagga, 4369 nucleotides long. It is a transcript of the gene named transmembrane protein 45A, with no coding region annotated. The record is from RefSeq and is a predicted model, not a curated record. Lineage: Eukaryota; Metazoa; Chordata; Mammalia; Perissodactyla; Equidae. The transcript is spliced from 7 exons.
CAGCUGGGCACGUCCCCCACGUCCUCUCCUUCCAGCCUCUCUUAUUUAUUUGUUUUCCCGAAGAAGCAACCAAGGAUCCAAGCCUAAAACUUUGUUCCCCCUAAAGCGAGACGGGGCCAGAUCCUAUCCAACACACAGUGUAAUUUUCAUGGGGCUUUGAGAUCAAAAGACCAGAAACAGCAACAACAAAAGCCCAGUCGCUGUCUGAUUUAAAACUGGCAAAGUGGGAAAAAUAAAGUGUUGAGUAGACAGACCGAGUUGGACAUGGGGAGUUUCAGAGGUCAUGCCCUCCCUGGAAGCUUCAUCUUUUUCACGGGUGCUUGGUGGACUGCAAAGUGCAUUCUCAAGUAUGCCUGCAAAAAGCACAAGCGGACUUCCUACCUUGGUUGCAAAGCGUUAUUCCAGCGAAUAGAAAUUUUAGAGGGAAUCAUACUGAUCUGCAUGGCUUUAACUGGCAUGACUGGGGAACAGUUCGUUCCUGCAGGACCCCACCUGGUCCUAUAUGACCAUAAAGAGGGCCAGUGGGUCCAACUCCUGAGCUGGCAUCAUUUCACCAUGUAUUUCUUCUUUGGCCUGCUGGGUGUGAUGAACAUCUUAUGUUUCACCAUCAGUUCACUUCCUACGUCCUUAACCAAGUUAAUGUUGUCAAAUGCGUUUUUUGUGGAGGCCUUUAUCUUCUACAACCACACGCAUGGCCGGGAAAUGCUGGACAUCUUCUUGCACCAGCUGCUGGUCUUGGUCACUUUUUUGGCAGGCCUGGUUGCCUUCGUGGAGCUCUUCACACGGACCAAUGUAAUUGUGGAGCUUCUGCGGACAAGCCUUGUCCUGCUUCAGGGGAGCUGGUUUUGGCAGAUUGGUUUUGUCCUUUAUCCCCCCAGUGGUGGUCCUGCAUGGGAUCCAAACGAUCAUGACAACAUUAUGUUCCUCACCAUAUGCUUUUGUUGGCAUUAUGCAUUAACGUUUAUUGUCAUUGGAGUGAUUUAUGCUUUUGUCACCUGGCUGACAUCUGGGCCUCAUCUCCUAUGGGGCUGGGCAACCUCCAAGAACAAUGCCAGCAUUCAAGAGACCUCUCCACUUCAUAUCCGCUCCCUCCCAGAGCCCAAAGAAGACUACUGUCUCUUUCUGUUUCAGAAAUCUUCAGACCCCUAAUGAAUCUCUUAUCAACUUACAGUUCUCUAGAAACCAGAAACUCCAUACUUAUGCCCUCCUGCCCAUGACACCUUUAACUUUUGACCAUGUAGUUCUCUCUACCUGGCAUAUCCAAAUUAAAGGCCCAUCUCUUCUACAAACACUUCUGUGAAUAUUCUAGCCCCUGCUCAUCUCCCUCCAUGAGUUUUUUAUAGAACUCUAGUCUCUACCACAGAUUUUAAGAGUUGUGAUCUAUCUUGGGAGGUUUACUAGUAGCUCAUUUAGUCUUUUCUGCUGGCUAGAUUUUCUUUUCCUUGAGGAAAAGACCCUUUUCAUAUUUCUCACAGCUCUUGGCACACUGUCAAACACAUAAAAGGUACUCAAGAAACACUUAUUUGCUAUUUUAAUAGAUCUGUUUCAGAGUUACUUGAAUAUAGGCUUUGUUUGCAGAUCAUGUUUUAUAUGCUUUUGAGUUUUGCUCUCAUAUUGCUCUCGGAAAUAUAAGACCAGGAAGAGCUCAUGUUCUGAUAUAUUUUGAUAUAAAUAAGCAGUAGCUUAAAAAAUAUCAGGACGAUUCAGUCUGACUUUUGGUGAGGUCUCAUGGCAGCUAAUUCCGUCCUCAAACCACAAGGAGCUUUGAAGAUCUGUCUGUCAGGCUUUGACUGUGGAGUGGUUUGUAAUUCAGUCCCAGGUGAUGGAUUUUCAGACAUUAUAUCAGAAUUUGUUUGACAUAGCACAAAGAUCACCAUGGAAACAAAACUGGGUUAUGGAACGACUGCCCCCAAGUCCCUGAAAAAUGAAGCUGCAUGUCCCACCUUUGCAGAAUAUUGGUUCAGAGAUUGCCUCAUCCAGUCCCAUGCCUAGGGUCCUGAUUGUGACAACUCAGAGAAGAGACCUAUCUGUUUCAAAAUCUUAUUGUGUGUUUUACUAUAUCUCAUAUUUAAAUACCACUUUGCAUAGAACUAUUUCAAAAGCUCCUCUUUAUGGUAGAGAAAUAUCGCCCAUUUCCAGAUUGCUUUGCUAAGCAAUGAUUCAUGUGAGCCAUUUUGAAGAACAGGAGAUCGCUUGCCUUCAGGAAGGUUGGUUUUCAGAUCAACUCUCAAGGUGCACCCGGAGUCUCAGCACCACUCUUUCUUAUAUUAAUUGAAGAGAACUUAUGGGAACAAAAGCCCAGACACACCCUCACCCUGAUUUCCUGGACUUGCGUCAUUCCAGGAACUAGCAAUUAUUUGCACUUCGUCUUUAUUACUGUAUCCCUCAAUCUGUCCCCACUGGCCAUUUCUGCAUGUGCCAAUAUCUAAGGCUACAGGAUGAAGACAGAGCUUGAACAUGCCUCAGCUUGGUGGCUUGUAGCAAUAGCAGAUAGAACCCAGAGUGGAGGAGUGGGAAACAGAAGGGGUCAGUAGGGUCUACGUUAAUAAUUAAUUUGUAAUUCAGGAGCCACGUCUGUGUUUUAUUUUCCAUAAGUCAUCGGGAAUGAAUCUAAUGAGUGAAUUAACUAAUUAACCCAUUUCAUUUAGCAUGUAUUGAGGCUGGGCAAUGUGGAGAUAACUGUGUGGGUGUAAAAAUGACACAAGCAUUAUCCCUGUCUUUAAAUUAUUUAAGACUAUUAGCCAUUCGUGAGAAUAGUGCCUUGAAGAGUUGGAGACAUUGGGAGCAACAUCAAUAGUCAAUUAAUAAUCAAGGCAAAUGAUUUCAAAUGGUUUUCCUUGGCUCUUGAUGGGUCAACAGACGUUCCUGAUGCUGCUCAGUUGUUGUAUAUGGGGGGAGCUAAUGCUGAGCUGGAAGGGACUGAAGAAUUAACGUCUGUGAGUAGGUGACUGAUAUGAACUUUUGGCAGAUUGCUCCAAUGGCUACUGACUCAUCAAAUGUGUGUGAGUCCCUAUUAUGUAGCAGACUUUGUUCUGGACUCUGGUUAGGGUUAGGGCAGCGAAGAAAACGAGGUCUCUGUUGUUAUGAUGCUUAUAUCCUAAUGGGAUCCAAAGCAGAAGUAAAGGCAUUGCAUAUCGAGAGGGGCAGGCCAGACCUUCACUGGAAGAAGAAAGGCAGAAAAUAAGAGUAAACAUGCAGAGAAGCCAGUGGAGUUUUUCAAAAAAUGAGAAUGAUUUUGAUGGUUUGGUUUAUCAAGUUUGUUUGCAUAUCCCUAUGUAUUUCUAGAAGUUAACUAUGUUUUGUUGAUAUGGUCACGGUACAAUGUCUUUACAAAUAAUUAUGCACAGGAAAAGCUUUGCCUAGUUCUUCUGACAUCAAAGAAGUGAAGAGCCUGCUGAGGUUCUGCUGCUAAGCAGCUUGGCAUCUUCCAAUAUCAAAAAUUAUAACCACUGCUUUCCCCCAACCUGGAGAUUCUCUUAAUCUGUGACAACAGUCACAAGGGUGAGGGCACUUCUUCCAACUUCUGACUUCAUCACGGACUGUCUCAUGCAGUUGAGCAGCCUGUGGCCUGCACCAAAGCCCCCCUCUGAAGGUGCAAGUAGGGGCUGCAGUACAGCCCAGACUGGACAUGGUGCUGGCAGGGGAAGCGGUCGCUUGCAUGCACUUCCUGCACACGAGAGGCUCCUUUUUGGAGCACACAGCUCCAUGCGCAUUGAUGGAGAAGCUCGGCAGAACCUGAUUUCAUCUGGGAUUGCUACAGCCCUGAGAUUCUCUUAUUUGUUUCAGAAAUGAUCAAAGUUAUGAAUGAUCAGACAUCUUCUAUUGCAUCUGUUUACUUAUAUCCUGCUUUAAUCCACAAACAAUUUUCAGGUUGGUUACAUCUCGACUGCGGAGAUUCUGCCCCUCAGAAGUUGGACUCCUGAAAACCGCUGACCGAGAACAAGAAUCAGAAGAAGAGAUGCGAUUUUGAUGGGCCUCUGGUCUUUCUGGAAGAACUUUUUCUCUUUUGCAUUGUUUUUGUUGCAUGGCCUUUUGUUUAGAGAACAACUGCCUGAGGAUGAUUCUUGGCAUAUUGCUUGUAUUUCCAAUUUUGUUGAAGUAUUUGAAUUCAAACAUUUUAUUUUUAGGUUGGAAAAUAUUUUGGAUGAUAAAUUCAUUUUGCACAUCAGUCAUGGUAUUUGGGGUGCACAAUGACUCUUCUGAGGACUUCUAAAUUUUGAUGUCCAUGCUUUGAAAAAUAUUGGUUUUAUUUGUCUUAUAGAUAUGCUCAAGGUUCCUGAGCUUGCUACCAUUUGUAACUCGUUAAACGUGGAAUCACGGUUGUUUAUCUUGUUGCUGCAAUGAGAAAUAAAUGAGUGCAUGAACCUUG